This 6526-nucleotide long non-coding RNA is filed under the name Brassica rapa (field mustard). Its description in RNAcentral is "long non-coding RNA (BRAP_LNC000818)". The record is from RNAcentral. Lineage: Eukaryota; Viridiplantae; Streptophyta; Magnoliopsida; Brassicales; Brassicaceae.
GGAUCCACCAAGAAGUUUGUGAUAUUCUGGUGAGUUUAUGUUUGGUUUGGGUUGUUUGUCGGUUCCUAUCUGGUUUCUGGUACGCGGUGGUUGUAUUCAGCCGGUUCAGAUGUGGGUGCUUAAGCUUUCUUGGAUCUGGUCAGACAACCUUCCAAACGAGGCAUCAGAUGUCAGAGAUCUUCUGGUCAUCUUCCUGUCAGCUUCUUUUCUUCUGGCUCUAUUUUCCGGCGACCUGACUCCCGUGUUUCGGGCUUCGUCUCUGGCUUACAGUGGCUAUCUUAGCACUAUAAGGCUGGCUUUUGGCUCUGACGGUGUCCCUUUCUGUCCGGGAAUCGUUGGCCUUUGUCUCGGAUCAAUCGUUUGAAUAUGAAUCAUGUUUCAGAUUGGAAGUUUGCGUGAAGUGAAGUUGGAAACUUUGGUUUGGUCUGUUGAAUACAUUAGCGGCAGGUCCUCCUAUAUGGUUGCUUAAUUGCUUUGUGAAUGAGGAAGUCCAAUCCUCUGUUUAAUGGCUAUGAGUAGUCUUUGGAAUUCUUUUUUGGUAUAGGUAUGGCGACGGAAAGUGUAUUAGUCGUAGACUCAUAAUCAGGGGUUGGUUUGAUGAUUGUGGGGGGUUUUUGUGGCCUGGGGGUGUUAGCCUUGUAAUGGUUUGGAAACAAUGUUUAAAGUUCAAUAUAAUCUAACAGAUGACUUAAAAAAAAAGGAAAUGAAGGCUAUAAGUGUGGUCUUCAUCUAUGCAUGUUCUUACCUUUUCAUUUAUUUCGUACCCUUUCUUGGGUUGAUAGGAGCACCUUGUGGAGACUACCUAUGGCCCCGUAUGUGUUGCCGUUUGUGGAGAUCCAGAUAAACCUGCUCUUAUUACAUAUCCUGAUCUAGCUCUUAAUUGUAAGUCAGAUACUUCUUCAUCUCUACUUAUCAAAUAAGCCUUAACUUCAGUUGUACACUAUUCAAAAUAAAACUUUUGAAUUGAUGCUUGUUUUUAAUAUUUUGUUUUGUCAUGUUGCAGAUAUGUUCUGUUUUCAAGGAUUAUUGUUUUGUCCAGAAGCUAGUUCCUUGUUACUCCACAACUUCUGCAUAUAUCACAUAAGUCCUCUAGGCCAUGAGGUUGGUAACUCAAGUCUCAUCUUUUUUUACAAACUUUUUUUUUUAUUUUUCUGCUAUUUACUGUUUUAACUGCUAUUCCAUUUCCUUGAUAAUACAAUUCAUGCUCCUUAUUACAUCUAUUUUUCAAGAGUUAUUGCAGUUGGGAGCUCCAGUGAUCAGUGUUGAUGCUCCUUUGCUCUCAGCUGAUGACUUAGCUGACCAGAUUAUUGAGGUUCUUAACUAUUUUGGGUAAGAUUUCACCUCCUGCAUAAGUUUUAUCUGAUCAUUGUUUCAUUAAGCUGCAUAUAUUCUUUUAUAUCCUUAUCUUGUUUUUUUUUCUUCGUUUUGUUCUAAAUUCUUUUAACUUUAUUUCUUAUUGGCUCUUAUCCAGACUUGGUGCAGUAAUGUGUAUGGGUGUCACAGCAGGAGCUUACAUUCUGACCUUAUUUGCUGUAAGUAUUUUUUACCUACAGUAACAAUACCUCUCUUACAUAUUAUUCUAUUGAUAUCAUACUUAACUUUUCCUUGAAACUUAAAUUCUUCUAGAUGAAGUACAGGCAGAGAGUUCUGGGAUUAAUACUCGUCUCUCCACUGUGCCAAGCGCCUUCUUGGUCAGAAUGGUUGUGCAACAAGGUUUGUUUCUUCCCAAAAUGAUAACUUCGUUGGUUCUCACUUGUGGCUAUGACCUUGGUUAUCAAACAUUUCCAUAAUUUUAUGCAGGUUAUGUCUAAUUUACUUUACUACUAUGGCAUGUGUGGAGUGGUUAAGGAAUUGUUACUCAAACGGUACUUCAGCAAGGUAUAGUCUCAGUUCUCUCAUUCACCACUUAACAAAUAUGGUUCUGGUUUUAAAAAGUUUCUUAUAAAUAGCGUUUUGCAUAAGACAGUUGAUAAUGUUUGACAUAUGAUAGGAAGUUCGUGGUAAUGCUCAAGUUCCAGAAUCAGAUAUUGUUCAAGAAUGCAGAAGAGUUAGUAAUACCUUCCUUCUUUUUUUUUUUUUUUUUUUUUUUUGCAAUUCUCUGAUAACAUUUUUCGAAGUAAAAAUUUAUAUGUUGUGUUCUCUACUACCCAGUUACUUUGCGAGCGGCAGAGUACAAAUGUAUGGAGAUUCCUUGAGGCAAUCAACGGGUAACUAUAGUUGAUCUCUGUUGUUUUUCAUUGUUAAGCUGAAAGUCUUAUCUUAUUGUAUAUUCUGGUUUGGUGUGAAUACAGGAGAGUGGAUCUUAGUGAAGGGUUAAGGAAACUGCAAUGCAGAACUUUAAUAUUCAUUGGUGAAAGUUCUGGUUACCACUCAGAGGCCGUUCACAUGACCACCAAACUAGACAGACGAUACGGCGCAUUAGUCGAGGUAUAAUAUAAAUCCUCCAUUCGUUUGAAAAAUUAUGUUUCAGAGCGUUCACACAUAUUAAAAAAUAUUUAAAUUUUAAUUAUAAAUGUAUUAUUUUUAAUGAUUAACUAUUUACCACAAUUUUUAGUCAAAACAUGUAUCAUUUUAAAAAGGAGAGAGUACAUCAAUAGUAUAAUUUCUAUUUUCCUUGUUAGCGGUUUGGCUCUAAACCAUAGUUCUGUAUAUAAAAUAGGUACAAGGAAGUGGGUCAUUGGUGACUGAAGAACAACCUCAGGCGAUGGUAAUACCAAUGGAAUACUUUUUGAUGGGAUAUGGCUUGUAUCGUCCUACACAGAGCAUAAGCCCAAGAAGUCCUUUGAGUCCAACCAGAAUCUCCCCUGAGCUUCUCUCACCUGAAAACAUGGGGUUGAAGCUCAAGCCGAUUAAGACAAGACUCUCCCUAUGACGACGCUGCCUUCUCUGCUACGGAAAAUAUUACAACAUUAUAUACCUGAUGAUACACUACGUGAAUCGCCAUUAUUAUUUUGGAGUUUGAGCUGCUCUUGUGUUAUGAUUAAAGCUGUAGAUAUAGACAGAGAUAUUGAUCAUCUAUAUAUAGAGAGAGCUAAGAGUUAAAAGAGGAAUAAGGUAAGGGAUUGAUAUAUAGUAGAGAGAAUACAGGUGUUUAUGUUUUUGAGUUCUUUAUAGUAGUUGUCUUCAGUGAGUUAUGUCUGUACAUUCGGUUGAAUAAUUAUUUAAGGAAAAAUCAUCAUAAUAUUUUAUGUCAAUUCCCAGUAACGGUGUUACUUUUCAUGUUUUAAUUGUUUUUUUUUUGUGUUUGCCUAUUGUGCUUACAUAUUAUACUAGGGAAGACUCUUUGCAGCUCAAUAUUCAGAAUUCAGAAAGAUUAAAGCAAGUUUUGAAAUUUUCAGAAUAACAAACUGAGAGAUAUGAAUAUUGAUUAAAUAUUUUCAUUACAGAUUACAAUGAAGGGACAGAAAAAAACAAUACUAAUUACAGGUGAAACAUAUGGUGAAAAAGGGCAGAGGUUAGUGGGUUCCAGGAAGCAAACAAUGUUAGGGUCAUUAUAUCAUUUGCUAAAAUGGUAUCCUGAAUGUAAAGAUUAAGAAAUGUGGUUGGUGGGUUAAUCAUUAAAAUAUUUCCAUGAAAAACAUAGGAUGAAAAAUAAUUCUAUAUAAAUACAAAAGCUGGUGAUAAAACGCCAAGAAUGUAAUGGUACUAAUAUGUGAUCGUUACUCAACAAAGGAUACUAAGUAGGUACGUUUAUUCGGUACCUAUUGCGCUGUUCCUUUUGGAUUCAUCUCCCUGUUGAUCUCUAGAUAUUAAAUUAAACAAACUCAAAUGCGACUGAGUUGUUGCUUGCAAUCAAUCAUACAAUGUGAAACACAUAUAUGUAAAAUGUCACAAGCGUACAACACACUAUGAUUUAGAAUAUUCCAUCGACUUUUCAUUACUUAUACAACCAUCGAAGUUGAUACAUGAUAAAUCAAUGAACGUUAACCAUCAGUCACAGUUGAUCAAUCAGUCAACAUGAAGCUGGUUUAAGAGAUACUGCUUCUUUCUUCUUCUUUUUUUGAACAACCUGCUCUUUCUUCUGUUGUAGAAAAUAAAUUUUAUUUUAUUACAUGUUUAAGAAGCUGAUAUCAAUAAUGUCUUUGUUUGUUUAUAUUUUUUUAUCAAUUUAAUUAUGAUGCUCAGAAUGGAGCAUAUAAUAAAUGUUACUUUUAAAAAUAAAAAGAAAUUUGAAAGUUUUGGCCGGAUUUAUAAUUAAGCAAAAGGGACUUAUGGUUUUACGCUCUUGUUGGGUGCCAAUGACACAUACCAACUCGACAAGAAAACGACAUGUGUGUUCUCACCCUCCAAUGCGAUGGGCCUUGUUUAUUGCGUAGAAAACUACACGGUGUUCAUGUUUUAAAAGGGGAGAAGACUAAGCAUAAAAGGAAAGACGACAAAAAUAAGUUGAAAUCCAACGGCUGAAGAUUCAUCAUCCUGUCUCGUAAAGUCAACAAUAUGAAAAAAAAAAAAAACAAUAUGCGGACUUUUUUCUAAAAACAUGAUUCUUUACUUUGGCCCCUGUACUAUAUAUGCAUCACUGUUAUCCUAACCCUCUAUUAUAGUACCAAAAAUUUACUUCAUGGGGUUUGAUUCGAAGGGAGAAAAAUGAGUAUUCUAAAUUACUUUCUUCUUUAUUUCUAUUUUUGAGCAUAUUAUUUCAUAGGGAUUGAUAUAAAAUAGCAUUAAAUAAAAAAAAUGAAGUAGCGUUUAAUUUUCUUAAAAUGCUUGUAUAAAAUGAAAACAGAAAAGAAAAUUACAAAUAGUGGAAAACGAGGGUGCCGACACGUUUUGGGUUUAUAAAUUGAAGUAGAAAAGUCGUAGUAUCAAUUGCAAUGAUUAAGAAAAUAUAGGGUGAGAAUGUAAUGUUUAGAAGGAGAAAGAAUGAUAAAACUGUCGGUCCCUUAACCAAGGGUUAGGCUGAUCAGGGUAUAUAGUUAGUCCCUGUGAUUAUGGUUUUGCAGGUCCUACAUUAAACCCGAGUCGACCGUCGGUGACUCAGUAACGAGUUUCCCUAUAUAUAUUUUUCUGAAGUAACAAGAAGUCUUCUAUUUGUAAACAAGAAAAAAAACGAAGAUAAGACAUUUUUGUGAGAGAGAAGAGGGAAGGCCAUGGAAAGAAGAUAAUAACUCUCUGCUUAUAUUGAAAUAUACAGAGGAGAAAGAGAGAGAUGGGAGAUUCAAGCGGUUCUGUCUCCAUUGAUAUGGAGGCAUUGUCUCCUAGACGACAGGUAAAUUAUCUUUACGAUUAUCUUUGUUUAAAGAGCUUAUUGGAUAUGUUUAAUACUUUAAUAUGUUCUGCAUUCUUCGAGCAGCUGCUUUAUUCCUCAAAAAACAUUACUCAUUUAUGUGGAUUUUAGUUUUAGAUUAUGCUAAGUGGUUUUUAGCAAUUUCUUGAAUCGUUUUGUGAUAAAACAAUGCUAGAAAAUAUUUCAUGUUGCUUCAUUACUAUGUUUGGAGCUGAAACUGGAAUGAUCAAUGAUGCUUUUGUUGUGUCGGUAAUAAUAUCCAAAACUACGAAAUGUGUUGUCUCGAUAAUCUGAUUCCACGUUUCUGCUUUACGUUUGAUUUUUAUUUUUAUUUUUUUGUUUGAUUUCUACGUUGUAUUUUCUUAGUGUCUUCCUCGAUUCAUACGCACUUUCAUUUUGGAACGUGUGAGUGAAUUUGUUGAUAUGAUUCUUGUUUCUAAUAGGAGAUUCCAAGUAUAUAUACAACUCUUCUAGGAUCAUUUUCCACGUUCCUUUCCUCAUUGUUUCUAAUAUUUCUUAAGGAUUUAUUUAUUUAUUAUCAUUGCGAAAUUCCAUAAUGAAGUUUUUGUUCUUCUAUUGGUAGUUCAGAUUUUUAAUAAUCUCUUUUGUUUGACCAAUCCGUAUUUGCUGGUUAUGAGUAUACGAUUUUAAUGGGAAACUUUGCUACUCUUAUUUUACUUACUUCCUAAACAAGUAAUAUUACUCACAAUGGAAAUGAAGGCUAUAGAACACAUUAUUUAAUUUAUGAUGUACUAAAGAAAUGUAGAGAGAGAAACAAAGGCGAAAAAGAGGCGAAAAAGUAGAUCUAGAUCUUCCCUCUCCGGUGUCCGGCGAGUUUUGCUGGCGCCGUGAGAGGGUGGGUUAUUGUCCUAAGUUCUGUUUUAUGAGGUUUGGUCGAGGUGUUGUGGUGGGUAAAGAGGGAUCCACCAAGAAGUUUGUGAUAUUCUGGUGAGUUUAUGUUUGGUUUGGGUUGUUUGUCGGUUCCUAUCUGGUUUCUGGUACGCGGUGGUUGUAUUCAGCCGGUUCAGAUGUGGGUGCUUAAGCUUUCUUGGAUCUGGUCAGACAACCUUCCAAACGAGGCAUCAGAUGUCAGAGAUCUUCUGGUCAUCUUCCUGUCAGCUUCUUUUCUUCUGGCUCUAUUUCCGGCGACCUGACUCCCGUGUUUCGGGCUUCGUCUCUGGCUUACAGUGGCUAUCUUAGCACUAUAAGGCUGGCUUUUGGCUCUGACGGUGUCCCUUUCUGUCCGGGAAUCGUUGGCCUUUGUCUCGGAUCAAUCGUUUGAAUAUGAAUCAUGUUUCA